ACUCCUACGGGAGGCAGCAGUGGGGAAUAUUGCACAAUGGGCGCAAGCCUGAUGCAGCAACGCCGUGUGAGUGAAGAAGGUUUUCGGAUCGUAAAACUCUGUCCUAAGGGAAGAAACAAAUGACGGUACCUUAGGAGGAAGCCCCGGCUAACUACGUGCCAGCAGCCGCGGUAAUACGUAGGGGGCAAGCGUUAUCCGGAAUCACUGGGGCGUAAAGGGUGCGUAGGCGGCUUAGCAAGCCAGGGGUGAAAGGCAUUGGCUCAACCAAUGUAAGCCUUUGGAACUGUUAAGCUUGAGUGCAGGAGAGGUAAGUGGAAUUCCUAGUGUAGAGGUGAAAUUCGUAGAUAUUAGGAGGAACACCAGUGGCGAAGGCGACUUACUGGACUGUAACUGACGCUGAUGCACGAAAGCGUGGGUAGCGAACAGGAUUAGAUACCCUGGUAGACUGUC
This 450-nucleotide ribosomal RNA is filed under the name uncultured bacterium. Its description in RNAcentral is "bacterial SSU rRNA". It matches the Rfam family "Bacterial small subunit ribosomal RNA", at positions 335 to 799 of the family's 1533-position model. The record is from RNAcentral.